This 444-nucleotide ribosomal RNA is filed under the name uncultured bacterium. RNAcentral's name for it is "bacterial SSU rRNA". It matches the Rfam family "Bacterial small subunit ribosomal RNA", at positions 29 to 524 of the family's 1533-position model. The record is from RNAcentral.
AACGAACGCUGGCGGCAGGCCUAACACAUGCAAGUCGAGCGCCCAGCAAUGGGAGCGGCGCACGGGUGAGUAACACGUGGGAACGUGCCCUUUGGUUCGGAAUAACGCAGGGAAACUUGCGCUAAUACCGGAUAAGCCCUACGGGGGAAGAUUUAUCGCCAUUGGAGCGGCCCGCGUCUGAUUAGCUAGUUGGUGAGGUAACGGCCCACCAAGGCAACGAUCAGUAGCUGGUGAGAGAACGACCAGCCACACUGGGACUGAGACACGGCCCAGACUCCUACGGGAGGCAGCAGUGGGGAAUCUUGGACAAUGGGGGAAACCCUGAUCCAGCCAUGCCGCGUGAGUGAUGAAGGCCCUAGGGUUGUAAAACUCUUUCGGCGGGACGAUAAUGACGGUACCCGCAGAAGAAGCUCCGGCUAACUUCGUGCCAGCCGCCGCCGUAAC